GAUAGGAAAUCAGCAAAGGGCUGCGGCCAGGUGUGGGAUCCAGACAUAUGCCGAACACCG
RNAcentral lists this small RNA (60 nucleotides) under Deinococcus gobiensis I-0. RNAcentral describes it as "hypothetical noncoding RNA". Lineage: Bacteria; Thermotogati; Deinococcota; Deinococci; Deinococcales; Deinococcaceae. The record is from RNAcentral.